Lytechinus pictus (painted urchin) is the source of this 4380-nucleotide long non-coding RNA. RefSeq lists it as uncharacterized. The transcript is spliced from 2 exons. The record is from RefSeq and is a predicted model, not a curated record. NCBI's taxonomy places the organism in Eukaryota, Metazoa, Echinodermata, Echinoidea, Temnopleuroida, Toxopneustidae.
AUUAUGCAACCAGUCAGGCCAGACACCCGCGCAACGCGUACGUCAAGCAACAUGGCGGGAAGUUCAAAUUAAGAGCUCGUGGGGUAGGUGAAAUUAAGAAUAUAGCUGUAAAAUGACUGUUUAUUGCGAUUCAGAGGCGUGUUUUAGACUGACUAGACUACGAAGAAAACCAAGUUUGCAUGCACGGUUGCCAAAGAGGAAAGAGGAUCCAAGAAGAAUACAACACAGUCUAUGGAGGUAACACUUUAAAACGACGCUGUAAAUUUUAAAUAAAGGUGUACGGGAAUUCACAUCACGUUGGCAGUAUCGUGCGCAUGUGCAAGAAUUCCUGACCAAUCCCGAUUUCUGCCUUUUGAAUCCUGAACCCUGAUAGUUGGAAGUGGAAUAGGACAUCACCAAUUAACCAUGCAGCCUGGUUAGCUAGGAAUGGAGCAGCUUUUCAUCAGGAUGGGGUGACGGGUCUGGUGGAUAGCAAUUAGGAGAACAUUGCUUGGAAGGCAUCCACAUGCCGUUAUCUUAUGGUGAGAUGAGGUGUGGCGUCAUCGUUGUAUGGCCAAAUUGAUAUCCUACUUGAGAGGACCUAGUUUCACCAAGAAAAGGAUUAGGAUGUGGAUGGUGAACAGGACUGUGAUCGACGAAUGUACCCCGCUGACACCUUGGUUAGAAACUACACCCGACGCAGUCUCAUCAUGGAGAGGGGUGAUCAAUUAAGCCAAGGGAUCCAGUCGGUCUGCCGCCGGUCUUUCGCCGGCCCAAACCCAGGGACUUUAAAGGUCAAGUCCACGGCCCAUCCCAGAAAAAUGUUGAUCAAACAAGCAUAACGCUGAAAAUCUCAUCAAAAUCGGAUAUAAAAUAAGCAAGUUUUGACAUUAAAAGCUUUGCUCAUUUUUCACAAAACAGUUCUAUUCACAACUCAGUGACAUGCAAAUGAGAGAGUUAAUGAUGUCUUUCCUCACUAUUUCUUUUUUGUUAUUGUUUGAAUUAUACAAAAUUGCAAUUUUAAUAGAUUUGAAAAUAAGGUCCAACCUGACUGAACCAUAAAAUGAUGGUAAUAAACCAUGGUUCACAUGUUCAGGGAGGAAUAAACUUUGUUUUACAGGACAAUGAGGGGGAAAUUAAAACAUUUCCUACAAUAAAAUACAUAAGAAAUAGUGGUUGGGUGAUGUCAUCACUCCCCUCAUUUGCAUACCGACCAGGAUGUGCAUAUAACUGUUCUGCGGAAAUUUAGCGAAACUUGUAAAUAAUUGUAAUAAUGUAAUAAUUAAGCUCCUUAUUUUUAUAUCCGACUUUUAUGAAAUUUUUAGUGUUAUGCUUGUUGGAUUUUUCAUUUUUUCAUUCAAAUCCACUUUUGUUGGGGUGGACUUGUCCUUUGAACGUCACGAUGACAGGAAUGUUUCGUGGACGUAAAAUAUGAAUGGAAGAGAACGAAACAGGUCGAUCAAUAUCGUUUACCUACCAUGCAUGCGGCAACGUUACUUUUCUCCAUGUUUUAUUUUUUAUGGCGAUAGUCAGAAAAAAUCUGGAAUGUUGGAUAUGUAUCUUAUGAAUCACCUGUAUGUGGAAACUCACUGAGUUCUGUUUUAGUAUUUAGCGCCCUUGGUGAUAUUCCCAUGUUGUAACGCAAAAUCUUUAUAGUCUAAAGGAGAAGGUGGUAUUCGGUCUGUUAAAUUAUGCCAAACUUAAAUCAUGAAGAUUGUUAAAGGCUUAUUUUGGAUUUCAGGGGAAACACGACGUUGUCCAUGGUGAUCCCCUUAGGAAUAGUAAUAUUGACGAUGAAUUCUUCAAAAUUACGUGUUUAGAGACUUCAAAGGGCAGUGUUUGGUAAAGCUCGGUCACUUUGCUUUCUCGCAGGUUUCCUAUGUAAAAAGCAUAAUUCUACGCCUGUCUUUGUUCUAAAUCUGCUUUCUUAUACAUGUAGCCAUGAUUUAUAGGGUUCAGUGUCUGCAACAUUCGUGCUUAAAAACAUACAGUAGUUUGAUACAAAUGUUCCCUAGGGUGGCAAUUCAGGAGGGAGUAGCAGAAAAUGCAGAGUAGAAAAUAAAAAGAGAGAGAAAAAAAAUCAGAAUCUGUUAUAAUUCAAAUGGAAAUGCAACAGAAAUGCAACUUGGGGUUUAACCUUCCACAUUUAUUUUUUAAUUUUUUUUGUUCAUUCGCUUCACUCUCUCGGGUAAAAAUUGCAAGAAACUUGGUUUAAAUUGGUUUUGACCACGCUUGGUCGCUACUUUCCUUGUUUAUGUGAGAAAGGGGUACAUGGCUUGACCGUCACUUACAUGUAUCAAGUGCGUGAAAGAAGGCAUUUUUUUUUCGAAGUGAAAAUAGGAAAUCUUAAUCCUAUAAGGAAAAUUAUAUGGAUAACGCUUCCCCUUGUGGCAUAUAUAGGACAAAAAUACAUGUACGCCACCUACAUGUAUCUCCAUUCCUUGUACACUUGUACUAAUUGGAAUAUAUAUACUCGUUUUUCAUUUCUUUAAUAAUUUUGGAUGACCAAGUCAGCAACAGGAUCGCAUCUAACUUUUACGUUGAUUUUUAGUAGUUUGUGUCUAGCCACCAAAUUAUUAAUCAAGUCGAUAUUGAAAUAACAUAUCAUUUCAUAUUCCUGCCUUCAGGCCUGUAAAUGAAAUGUACAUCAUAAAUACAAGCCUGAAGGUAUUGGCUGUGACUUGUAAAUGAUCUUAAAUGAGUGGUAUUCUUAUAGCCAUGGUAUAGUUAACCCUAUUUAACUUAGAAUACACUUUUAUGGAGCGCCACUGUUGUUAACCCACUCACCAUGUGAAAAAUAUUUCAAUCCUACAGCAAUCCUAUGAGAAGAAUUGGAAUAUACGAAUAUAUUAUGAUCUUUAAUUUGAUAAUUGUUAUCUUUGCCAUGAAUAUGGAAGGAGUAUUAUUAAACCAAGUAUUUCAUAGAAGUGUAAUCUAAAAUUCUACCUAAGAUCCUAAUCUUAAGUAUAUAGAAUCUUUAUUAAUCUUAAGUUAAACCUAGGUUUUAUUGAGUUUCUUUCAUAGUUUGAUUUUAUUAGGCGUAUUCAUAGGUAAACAAACAUGUACAGUGCGAAUAAAGAGAUAAAUAGAUAACUAAAUAAGUGGGGGGAAACAACAAAUGUAUAUGACUUGGAUUGAAUCUUUUGAUAUAGCCCUCCGCUAAUAUGGUUGCUCUUUUUGGACCAGUAAUUUACAUUUCGUAUUGUUUUGGUGUGUUUAUCUUUUGGAAGGUGAUCAUCUUCAUUUACCAUACAUUUUUACUUAGUUGAUUCAGAAGUAAUAUGCAGAAGCAUAGAACAUUAAUAGGCCCAUAGCUUCCCUCUCUGCGAUGAAAAUUCAAACAGAAAAUGAACUCUGUGAUUAGGAUAAAUUUCGAUAGGCCUUGCUUUUUUUUAUAUCUAUAUAUUUCUUCCCUCGGGACUGGGUAGCGAUGUAUUACUGAAAUCUUUUUAAAGUCCACUUUGCCUACAUUUUUUGCACCAUUGUUUGGUAAUUUUGGUAAACUUUAAGGGCACCGAAAAUAAGAUUUACGAAGUAAUAUUGUGCGUAUAAGUGGAAAAGUGAAAAAUAAAGCUAUAAUUGUAUGCUUUCAAUAAGCCAGUUCGGAGUUCCAUUCUGCGCAUGAUCAGAAGGAGGUCAUUUGUCCUGAAGUGACAUGGUGGUUUAACAUUCAAUGAGAUAAGCGCCAACUUUGAUGUAUUGAUUAUUCAUCUAUUCUUUUGAAUUGUGUUUUUCCAUUAGAUCCAGAAAAAAACAUCAAUGCGUCCACUAGCGAGUGGUAUUUCACAGUUGGCCAAGUACAUUGUUAUAGCAACAUGCUAAUGCAUUCAAAGUAGAAUUGCAACAAAUACCUUCAUACAGUGUUUGUUAGGUUUUAUAUGCUAUGUAAGGCAUGCUUACAUAAUUUGCCUAUCAUAAUGAAGAAAUGAAAGGUUAUUUGACAAAAAUUGCCCAUGAGGUAACUCCGAACUGGUCUAUUAUUUCUGGUAUCUCCCUAACCCUAUUAAUAAGGUAUGGUAGAUCAUCUGAAGUACGCUUUCCACUUGGUAAAUCUGAACUCAAGUUCUUCUGUAAAUGUCAUUUUAAUAGAAUUUGUUAUUUUGCCUGUACAGUUGUUGAUUAAAUUAUCGUUUUCAUUGGCUACCGCACACCUUUCGAUAGGUCUGCGACCCGAUUUUGGAAUAUCUAAUCGUGAUGACGUCAUAGCAAAGCGGACGAUCGGCAGCGAUUUGAAGCCAGUUUGGCCUUUUCUCCAAAUAAAGGAUUGCAGUAAUCCAAAAAUUCGGAUUUUGAUAUUAUCACAGUUAAUUUGAAUAACAUAUGAAAAUAAUUUAUUCACUUUUAUUUUCAACAAAGUCAGGUCAUAACGACCAGUCGUAAGGUGUGCGGUGGCCAUUACAA